GAGUGGAGUUGUAGCACCGGCA
RNAcentral lists this microRNA (22 nucleotides) under Caenorhabditis elegans. Lineage: Eukaryota; Metazoa; Nematoda; Chromadorea; Rhabditida; Rhabditidae. The record is from RNAcentral.